This is an unclassified non-coding RNA of Erinaceus europaeus (western European hedgehog), 286 nucleotides long. Its record names the gene 7SK. It matches the Rfam family "7SK RNA". From Rfam's summary of the family: 7SK was discovered as an abundant small nuclear RNA in the mid-70s but a possible function has only recently been suggested. Lineage: Eukaryota; Metazoa; Chordata; Mammalia; Eulipotyphla; Erinaceidae. The record is from Ensembl.
GGAUGUGAGGGCAAUCUGGCUGUGACAUGUGUCACCCCACUGAUCACCAGGGUUGAUUCGGCUGAUCUAGCUAGUUAGGCAGGUGUCCCCUUCCUCCUUCACUGCUCCAUAUGGACGGCCUUCCCCAAAUAGAGAUAGACCCAUCUUCAAUUGAGGGUAUAGGAGUAGCUGCGCUCUCCUGCUAGAACCUCCAAAGAAGCUCUCAAGAAUAGGAAAGCUAAAAAGGGGAGGGUUGGGAUACAGAGUUCUGGUGGUGGGAAUUGUGUGGAGUUGUACCCCUCUUAUC